AUGACAUCUAUUACUGGUAGCAAUUCGGAGACAUAUAAUAAUGAUGUCACAGCAUUAGCUAGGGAAAUUGAAGUCAUCAUGGACAAAGUUGUGGAAUGUGGGGCACCCGAAGGAAGCGAUGGGUACUACAUGGCAACUAAAUUGUUUGGGAGAUCUAUACAUCGUUGCUUCUUUAAUAUCAUGAAGACAAGUGAGGGCAGACUUGACUGGCUGAAGAGGCAUUAUGCAAACAGGAAAAUGCAUUAG
Molecule: ribosomal RNA, 246 nt
Filed under: Triticum aestivum (bread wheat)
Lineage: Eukaryota; Viridiplantae; Streptophyta; Magnoliopsida; Poales; Poaceae
Description: partial small subunit ribosomal RNA
Source: RNAcentral